Cephus cinctus (wheat stem sawfly) is the source of this 353-nucleotide long non-coding RNA. RefSeq lists it as uncharacterized. Lineage: Eukaryota; Metazoa; Arthropoda; Insecta; Hymenoptera; Cephidae. The record is from RefSeq and is a predicted model, not a curated record. The transcript has 3 exons.
CGGUCAAAUUGUAAAACAACUUCAAUACAACAGGUACGUUUUACAACAGCAUCUUAACAAUAUCAAUUAGAUAUGCUAAUAAAUUUGUUUUUCGUUUCAUGUAAACAUCAUUCUCGGUGGGAACAAUCUUUGGAUCGACUUCGAAAAAAGCGAGAGAAAGCGGCGCAAGUUCAAUAAGUGAGGCUAGCAAUGAAAAGUAAACAGGAUUCGCCUGUCAUCAUGCUACAGUCGAAGAUUGUCAUUAUCAAGGUGAUGAGAAAGGGAAAUAGAAGAACAGCAUCCUAGAUGACCUAACCUGAGGACAACAAGCGGGGACGGCCAUCUAAAAUUUCCAGUAUCUUCAUUUAUUGGAU